RNAcentral lists this ribosomal RNA (253 nucleotides) under uncultured bacterium. RNAcentral describes it as "partial 16S ribosomal RNA". It matches the Rfam family "Bacterial small subunit ribosomal RNA", at positions 524 to 776 of the family's 1533-position model. The record is from RNAcentral.
UACAUGUGGGGCAAGCGUUGUUCGGAAUUACUGGGCUUAAAGGGUGCGUAGGCGGCGCGGUAAGUCGGGUGUGAAAUCUUGGAGCUUAACUCCGAAACUGCAUUCGAUACUGCCGUGCUUGAGGACUGGAGAGGAGACUGGAAUUUACGGUGUAGCGGUGAAAUGCGUAGAUAUCGUAAGGAAGACCAGUGGCGAAGGCGGGUCUCUGGACAGUUCCUGACGCUGAGGCACGAAGGCCAGGGGAGCAAACGGG